Alosa sapidissima (American shad) is the source of this 91-nucleotide long non-coding RNA. RefSeq lists it as uncharacterized. NCBI's taxonomy places the organism in Eukaryota, Metazoa, Chordata, Actinopteri, Clupeiformes, Clupeidae. The record is from RefSeq and is a predicted model, not a curated record. The transcript is spliced from 3 exons.
AAGUGUUUGCUGGGGAGUCUCUUCUCUCGUGUCUGCGCUUGCAGUGCAACGUGAAUGAGGCAGUGAGAACGGUAAAGUUCAGUUUCUCACA